This 307-nucleotide ribosomal RNA is filed under the name Escherichia coli. Its description in RNAcentral is "bacterial LSU rRNA". It matches the Rfam family "Bacterial large subunit ribosomal RNA", at positions 2444 to 2750 of the family's 2925-position model. The record is from RNAcentral. Lineage: Bacteria; Pseudomonadati; Pseudomonadota; Gammaproteobacteria; Enterobacterales; Enterobacteriaceae.
AUCGCUCAACGGAUAAAAGGUACUCCGGGGAUAACAGGCUGAUACCGCCCAAGAGUUCAUAUCGACGGCGGUGUUUGGCACCUCGAUGUCGGCUCAUCACAUCCUGGGGCUGAAGUAGGUCCCAAGGGUAUGGCUGUUCGCCAUUUAAAGUGGUACGCGAGCUGGGUUUAGAACGUCGUGAGACAGUUCGGUCCCUAUCUGCCGUGGGCGCUGGCGAAUUGAGGGGGGCUGCUCCUAGUACGAGAGGACCGGAGUGGACGCAUCACUGGUGUUCGGGUUGUCAUGCCAAUGGCCCUGCCCGGCAGCU